RNAcentral lists this non-coding RNA (950 nucleotides) under Eleutherodactylus richmondi (Richmond's robber frog). RNAcentral describes it as "12S ribosomal RNA". It matches the Rfam family "Bacterial small subunit ribosomal RNA". Lineage: Eukaryota; Metazoa; Chordata; Amphibia; Anura; Eleutherodactylidae. The record is from RNAcentral.
CACAAAGAUUUGGUCCUGAUCUUAAAAUCAACUCUUACUUAACCUACACAUGCAAGUUUCCGCACCCCUGUGAAAACGCCCCUAAACCCUUAUGAGUUAAGGGAGCAGAUAUCAGGCACCAAUUAUUCUGCCCAAGACAUCUAGCUAUGCCACACCCACAAGGGCCUUCAGCAGUGAUUAACAUUGAACAUAAGCAACAGCUUGAUUCAGUCAAAGUAAACAGGGCCGGCAAAUCUGGUGCCAGCCGCCGCGGCUACACCAGUGACCCAAAUUGAUUUCUAUCGGCGUAAAGCGUGAUUAAAGCCCUUUUAAAACUAGAGCUAAACACAGACUAAAUUGUCAAAUAUUUAUCCUUAAGGAAACCCAUAUAACGAAAGUUGCUCUACUCAAUCCAACUUGAAUUCACGAAAGUUAGGACACAAACUGGGAUUAGAUACCCCACUAUGCCUCUCUGCAAACUUUAACUUACAUCUCAAUCGCCAGGGAACUACGAGCAAAGCUUAAAACCCAAAGGACUUGACGGUGCCCCAUAUCCCCCUAGAGGAGCCUGUCCUACAACCGAUACUCCCCGUUUAACCUCACCACUUCUAGCUCAUCAGCCUGUAUACUUCCGUCGCCAGCUUACCACGUGAGCGAAACUCAGUUAGCUUAAUGUCCACGUGUUACCACACUAUAUCGUCAAUACGUCAGGUCAAAGUGCAGCAAAUGUUGUGGGAAGAGAUUGGCUACACUUUUUAAUAUAAAAAAAACGAAAGACAAAAUGAAACUUUGUCAGAAGGUGGAUUUAGUAGUAAAAAGAAACCAUAAAAUUCAUUUUAAUCCAGCACUGGGGCGUGUACACACCGCCCGUCACCCUCUUCAAAAACCUUUAAAUAGUUCAUAACACCUUAUACAACUAAAGAAGAGGCAAGUCGUAACAUGGUAAGUAUACCGGAAGGUGUUCUUGGAAA